RNAcentral lists this ribosomal RNA (253 nucleotides) under uncultured bacterium. Its description in RNAcentral is "partial 16S ribosomal RNA". It matches the Rfam family "Bacterial small subunit ribosomal RNA", at positions 524 to 776 of the family's 1533-position model. The record is from RNAcentral.
UACGUAGGGGGCAAGCGUUGUCCGGAUUUAUUGGGCGUAAAGAGCGUGUAGGCGGCCAUGUAUGUCCGUUGUGAAAACUCGAGGCUCAACCUCGAGACGCCGAUGGAAACCAUGUGGCUCGAGUCCGGAAGAGGAGAGUGGAAUUCCUGGUGUAGCGGUGAAAUGCGCAGAUAUCAGGAAGAACACCCGUGGCUAAGGCGGCUCUCUAGUACGGUACUGACGCUGAGACGCGAAAGCGUGGGGAGCGAACAGG